GCAGCGAUUGUUCAUUGCCUUACAUAUAUCCUUCCCUGAUAAAAAGGAUCAUGUAGUCCAUCAGAAGCACAUUUUUCCGAUGCGUAAACAAGUUUUCAGGAAACUUAGGGCAUGUUCAUCGGAGGGACCGAUAUAGGUCCCAAAUUUUUUUUUUUUUCUUUUUUUUUUCUUUUUACAGAAUUAAAAUAAAAAAUAAAAAAAAUAACCAAUCGCGGGCCGUCACGUGUCAGUGGGGCCCGCGAAUGGAAGAGGGACAGUCCCGUUUAAAGGAACGACCCACACAAAAUUUUUUUUUUUUUUUUUUUCUUUCUUAAAAAACUGGGGGACUGGCCAUGGGACCUGCCAAUGCCCAUGGCCUUAGAGUUAAGGAAUCUCUGUCUAAACCAUGUAGCUCAUCACAUUCUAUGUUUUUCCUCUACACAUAACAACCCUUUCGAGGAUUUCAAAUUCUAUGUUGAUAAGGAGUUUCUUUCAAUGAGGGAAGAGUAUGAAAACAUGUUCA
This 502-nucleotide long non-coding RNA is filed under the name Capsella rubella. Its description in RNAcentral is "long non-coding RNA (CRUB_LNC002215)". The record is from RNAcentral. Lineage: Eukaryota; Viridiplantae; Streptophyta; Magnoliopsida; Brassicales; Brassicaceae.